Molecule: ribosomal RNA, 446 nt
Filed under: uncultured bacterium
Lineage: Bacteria
Description: partial 16S ribosomal RNA
Rfam family: Bacterial small subunit ribosomal RNA
Source: RNAcentral
GUGAGGAAUAUUGGUCAAUGGGCGCAAGCCUGAACCAGCCAUCCCGCGUGCAGGAAGACGGCGCUAUGCGUUGUAAACUGCUUUUCCAGGGAGAGAAACUUGCGCACGUGUUGCGCAAUUGACGGUACCCUGGGAAUAAGCAUCGGCUAACUCCGUGCCAGCAGCCGCGGUAAUACGGAGGAUGCGAGCGUUAUCCGGCUUCAUUGGGUUUAACGGGUGCGUAGGCGGACUAUUAAGUCAGUGGUGAAAUCCUGCAGCUUAACUGCAGAACUGCCAUUGAUACUGAUAGCCUUGAGUUUGGUUAAGGUAGGCGGAAUGUGUAAUGUAGCGGUGAAAUGCUUAGAUAUUACACAGAACACCAAUUGCGUAGGCAGCUUACUGAGCCGACACUGACGCUGAGGCACGAAAGCGUGGGGAUCGAACAGGAUUAGAAACCCCUGUAGUCC